RNAcentral lists this ribosomal RNA (292 nucleotides) under uncultured Comamonadaceae bacterium. RNAcentral describes it as "partial 16S ribosomal RNA". It matches the Rfam family "Bacterial small subunit ribosomal RNA", at positions 505 to 796 of the family's 1533-position model. The record is from RNAcentral. Lineage: Bacteria; Pseudomonadati; Pseudomonadota; Betaproteobacteria; Burkholderiales; Comamonadaceae.
GUGUCAGCAGCCGCGGUAAUACGUAGGGUGCGAGCGUUAAUCGGAUUUACUGGGCGUAAAGCGAGCGCAGGCGGUGUUGUAAGACAGAUGUGAAAUCCCCGGGCUCAACCUGGGAACUGCAUGUGUGACUGCAUCGCUGGAGUGCGGCAGAGGGGGAUGGAAUUCCGCGUGUAGCAGUGAAAUGCGUAGAUAUGCGGAGGAACACCGAUGGCGAAGGCAAUCCCCUGGGCCUGCACUGACGCUCAUGCACGAAAGCGUGGGGAGCAAACAGGAUUAGAAACCCCUGUAGUCC